GAAUGCUGACAUAAGUAACGAUAAAGCGGGUGAAAAGCCCGCUCGCCGGAAGACCAAGGGUUCCUGUCCAACGUUAAUCGGGGCAGGGUGAGUCGACCCCUAAGGCGAGGCCGAAAGGCGUAGUCGAUGGGAAACGGGUUAAUAUUCCCGUACUUGGUGUUACUGCGAAGGGGGGACGGAGAAGGCUAUGUUGGCCGGGCGACGGUUGUCCCGGUUUAAGCGUGUAGGUGUGUGUUCCAGGUAAAUCCGGUUCACUUUAACACUGAGGCGUGACGACGAGGCACUACGGUGCUGAAGCAACAAAUGCCCUGCUUCCAGGAAAAGCCUCUAAGCAUCAGGUAACAUCAAAUCGUACCCCAAACCGACACAGGUGGUCAGGUAGAGAAUACCAAGGCGCUUGAGAGAACUCGGGUGAAGGAACUAGGCAAAAUGGUGCCGUAACUUCGGGAGAAGGCACGCUGACACGUAGGUGAAGUGAUUUACUCAUGGAGCUGAAGUCAGUCGAAGAUACCAGCUGGCUGCAACUGUUUAUUAAAAACACAGCACUGUGCAAACACGAAAGUGGACGUAUACGGUGUGACGCCUGCCCGGUGCCGGAAGGUUAAUUGAUGGGGUCAGCGCAAGCGAAGCUCCUGAUCGAAGCCCCGGUAAACGGCGGCCGUAACUAUAACGGUCCUAAGGUAGCGAAAUUCCUUGUCGGGUAAGUUCCGACCUGCACGAAUGGCGUAAUGAUGGCCAGGCUGUCUCCACCCGAGACUCAGUGAAAUUGAACUCGCUGUGAAGAUGCAGUGUACCCGCGGCAAGACGGAAAGACCCCGUGAACCUUUACUAUAGCUUGACACUGAACAUUGAGCCUUGAUGUGUAGGAUAGGUGGGAGGCUUUGAAGUGUGGACGCCAGUCUGCAUGGAGCCGACCUUGAAAUACCACCCUUUAAUGUUUGAUGUUCUAACGUGGACCCGUUACCCGGGUUGCGGACAGUGUCUGGUGGGUAGUUUGACUGGGGCGGUCUCCUCCUAAAGAGUAACGGAGGAGCACGAAGGUUGGCUAAUCCUGGUCGGACAUCAGGAGGUUAGUGCAAUGGCAUAAGCCAGCUUGACUGCGAGCGUGACGGCGCGAGCAGGUGCGAAAGCAGGUCAUAGUGAUCCGGUGGUUCUGAAUGGAAGGGCCAUCGCUCAACGGAUAAAAGGUACUCCGGGGAUAACAGGCUGAUACCGCCCAAGAGUUCAUAUCGACGGCGGUGUUUGGCACCUCGAUGUCGGCUCAUCACAUCCUGGGGCUGAAGUAGGUCCCAAGGGUAUGGCUGUUCGCCAUUUAAAGUGGUACGCGAGCUGGGUUUAGAACGUCGUGAGACAGUUCGGUCCCUAUCUGCCGUGGGCGCUGGAGAACUGAGGGGGGCUGCUCCUAGUACGAGAGGACCGGAGUGGACGCAUCACUGGUGUUCGGGUUGUCAUGCCAAUGGCACUGCCCGGUAGCUAAAUGCGGAAGAGAUAAGUGCUGAAAGCAUCUAAGCACGAAACUUGCCCCGAGAUGAGUUCUCCCUGAGACUUAGAGUCUCCUGAAGGAACGUUGAAGACGACGACGUUGAUAGGCCGGGUGUG
This 1599-nucleotide ribosomal RNA is filed under the name Salmonella enterica subsp. enterica serovar Enteritidis. RNAcentral describes it as "partial 23S ribosomal RNA". It matches the Rfam family "Bacterial large subunit ribosomal RNA", at positions 1292 to 2869 of the family's 2925-position model. The record is from RNAcentral. Lineage: Bacteria; Pseudomonadati; Pseudomonadota; Gammaproteobacteria; Enterobacterales; Enterobacteriaceae.